GAAGGAGAGGGUAAUCUGGCUGAGAUAUAUUGUCCCACUCAUGGUCGAGUUUGAUUUCCUUGAGACAGCUGGCCAGGUGAGUACCCACUUCUACCCACACCACUCACUCCAUGUGUGUAUUUCCUGAAGUUGUGUGCUAGGCCAGAGAAGACCCUCCUCAGUAGAGAAAGACCCAUUCUUCCAUCCAGGGUAUAUUAGUAGAACCUCCAAAUGACCUCUCAGUAUGAUAUUAUAAUGAAAGUUGUAUGAAUGUAGUGAAUCUCUCACUACCUAU
This 274-nucleotide small nuclear RNA is filed under the name Jaculus jaculus (lesser Egyptian jerboa). RNAcentral describes it as "7SK RNA (ENSJJAG00000005753.1)". It matches the Rfam family "7SK RNA". Rfam says of the family: 7SK was discovered as an abundant small nuclear RNA in the mid-70s but a possible function has only recently been suggested. Two independent studies have found that 7SK RNA binds the CDK9/cyclin T complex (known as elongation factor P-TEFb). P-TEFb activates transcription by phosphorylating the C-terminal domain of RNA polymerase II. The record is from RNAcentral. Lineage: Eukaryota; Metazoa; Chordata; Mammalia; Rodentia; Dipodidae.